Molecule: ribosomal RNA, 484 nt
Filed under: uncultured bacterium
Lineage: Bacteria
Description: SSU rRNA
Rfam family: Bacterial small subunit ribosomal RNA
Source: RNAcentral
AGGACGAACGCUGGCGGCGUGCCUAACACAUGCAAGUCGAACGAGGUCCAACCGGUGGCAACACUGGUGAAGACCUAGUGGCGAACGGGUGAGUAUCACGUGAGCAACCUGCCCCGAAGACUGGGAUAACACCGGGAAACCGGUGCUAAUACCGGAUACCCCCACCGGAUCGCAUGGUCUGGUGAGGAAAUGAAUUUUGCUUUGGGAGGGACUCGCGGCCUAUCAGCUUGUUGGUGGUGUAACGGACCACCAAGGCUUCGACGGGUAGCUGGUCUGAGAGGACGAUCAGCCACACUGGGACUGAGACACGGCCCAGACUCCUACGGGAGGCAGCAGUGGGGAAUCUUGCGCAAUGGGCGAAAGCCUGACGCAGCAACGCCGCGUGAGGGACGAAGGCCUUCUGGGUUGUAAACCUCUUUCAGCAGGGACGAUGAUGACGGUACCUGCAGAAGAAGCCCGGCAACUACGCGCCAGCAGCCGCGGU